Long non-coding RNA from Sinocyclocheilus rhinocerous, 252 nucleotides. RefSeq lists it as uncharacterized. The record is from RefSeq and is a predicted model, not a curated record. Lineage: Eukaryota; Metazoa; Chordata; Actinopteri; Cypriniformes; Cyprinidae. The transcript has 2 exons.
AUAGGGGGAUUUGAGUUGUUGCCAGGGCGUUGCUAUAGGGGGAUUUGAGCUGUUGCUAGGGCGUUGCUAUAGGGUGAUUUGAGUUUUUGUCAGGGCGUUGCUAUAGGGGGAUUUUAGUUUUUGUCAGGGCGUUGCUAUAGGGUGUUUUGAGCUGUUGCCAGGGCGUUGCUAUAGGGUGAUUUGAGUUUUUGUCAGGGCGUUGCUAUAGGGGGAUUUUAGUUUUUGUCAGGGCGUUGCUAUAGGGUGUUUUGA